CAGCUCCCCAUACUCACACUAUUAGUGGUAUUGUGUUCAUCGAGUCAUGCAGACAAACUAGCGGCAUACUCCCUGUCGGUAUGAGAUACUGACCUUUUACAGGGGAAACCAGGAAUAGAUCUCCAGCUCAUCUUUGGAUAAUAAGUCCCCAUGAGUUGCAUGCAUUCAUCUCUUUUUGUGUACCUUUAAUGCAUUUUACUCUUUGCGGGUAUGGUUUAAUAACUUCUGUGUACCAGGAGAGCAAAAUGAGUCAAACAAAGGGUAAGUUGUGUUUAGGUGUUUGUGGAUCUUAUCGGCGCCUUUGUGUGUGUGUGUCUGUGUGUAUGUGUGUGUGUGUAUAUUUCAUGUCAUUACAAAGCCAGUUAAGAAGCUGCUGUUUUGUCUGCAACGGCAGCACAGAUGUGCAUGGUUAGCGCUGUCAGGGGCAAUGACACCACUAUCAUUAGCUUUACAAGCCCCUUUAUUAUCACCUCUACCAGCAGGAGGAUUCCAUACGUAUUUACAUCGACUCCACCAGAUGUUAUCCACCCAUCCUUUUGUCUAUUCCUUCCAUCAUUUUUUGUCUUCUUUUGUUCAGGUUUUGUUCUCAAUUGGAUUGUUAAGAAGCCGUAUUUCGUGUUUAGUGGUGUAUUAAUUCAAUGGGGUAUACUAUUUAUACAGGCCGGCCAAACCAAACCAAGAAACCGGCCAAACCAAAUAAGGAAGACCCACACUGGAUUGUUUUGCAACAAAGGAUGUCAAAGGUUAAACUCCCCCCACACUCCUCAUGUUGUUGGUAUGGCCCAUCAACCCUGUCCAGGUGUUAUGGACAGUGGUAUGCAUUGAGACCACUCCCCUUUGACAGGUGAACCAGAAAACUGUUGAAAGGAGUAGGUUAAAAUAUGUUAGAAAAUGGCUUAAAUAAGAAACCAAGUCAAACUAAGAUACAAGCCCUCUCAUUGUUGUACCCUCAGUCGCAUAGGUAUGUUGGUAAAAAAAAAACAUUUUAAUGGUUGCGUCUGGGUAUUGUGAAUCAUAGUCUGACCCUGAAUAUAAAGAGAUAAGGGGUGUAGUCUGGCUGUAGGAGAGAACGAUGCAGGCAUCACAAACACACCCAGGGCUCUGACCGGGUGAAGGUCCUACACAGUCCCCCCUCUGUUGUUCUGCAGUUCACCUCAUGCCCGUGUCUGCUGAGCCAGAUUAGCUAGUCACCUUUUCCCCCCUCCCCUCCAUGUUAUUAAGUCAUUCCUGUUAUCACACUCCACAUGAUGUCAUUCCUUCCUGAUCACUACCUUCCUUUCUCCCUCCCUCCCUUCCUUCAUUAACUCCCCCUCCCUCUCUCACACGCACACACACACACACGCACACGCACACGCACACAAACUGCUUGUUUUUGCCUCCCUUUUUUGGUAUUUUCAUUUGAGUCUUUUAUGACUUUUAUCCAUAAAAUGCCCUCCUUUCUCCUCUUCUACGUUUUGAAGUUUUUUCUGUCUUAUCUUCAUUCAUUAAUUCAUGGUUGAUUUCAUUACACACCAUCACUCUUGAUGGAGCAGUUAUAUAAAAACAUCUCUGCUGAAGCAGUCAUGAUACUUUUUAUCAGUUACAUUUGAUCAACUAUAUUUAGGAUGGAAAAAGGAACUGGAACUGUACCGUUAAAUGACAGAUGGCAAAUGGACCACUGGGUGAGCAAUGCAAUUACUUUGGCAUUUUGGUUGCUCCCAGUCACCUCUGCAUGAUAGUAGCCACGGGCGUUAUGCACCGAGCAGUCAUAUUGGUUCUAAACCGUACCUUCUAGACGCUUCUAAAGGUUCCCCCCCGAUGCUACCAAGAGGCCAUUGGCUAGGGCUUAAACAUGUUGUUAUUACCCCUUACUGGAUGACAACCACAUUGUUAAUUUAUAUCUCAUAUAUUUCUUAUCAAGGUUUAAAUCUCCAAAAAAAGUUCAUAAAUGCACUAUAUUGUGGGUUUCCAUCCUUCAGUGCUGUUUUAAGUAUCUUCUUGGUUCUUAAAUCGACACGGAGGAAGCGUACUGCACUACAACUACUCCAGCCAGAUUAUCAGAUAGUUGCUUCAAUAAUACUUCUGCAUUCCUCUGCAGAAAUUAAAUCAACGAUUCUCUCCCUGGUUGUCUCACUAAUUCCGACCCAGUUGCCCAGAAGGCCUCAAGUGAACCUCUGCCUUGAAGGAUGUAUCAGCGAUGUUGGGGGACGUCACUUCCGUUGGUAUUUGAACCGAGAUCCCAAACAAACAGAGCCAGCUCGCCCCUCCCUACCGUGUUCGUGCAUCCAGUAAAAACUAUCAUGAACACCCGCCCCUUGACGGUGAUUGGUUGGAAUACUAUUUAUUUUGGUUUUGAGUGGGCGAUAGUACCAUUUGUUUGUCUCGGAGCAUACUAGGCUGCCUACAGAGACAUGAUUUUUUUGACGGCCUGCUUAUGGGGCGGGCAGCUAGCGGAUCGUGAGGGAAGAUCCGAUGAAUGUGAUAGUUUAUGUAUCGGCCUAGAAUCGCUGAUACAACCUUUAAGAUCGUGCACUGCACGCUGAUGGGGACUCAGUGCCUUCGAUGUGGCCCAACGAGCCUGGGCUUCCUCCUCCUCUCAGUGAUGCAGCCACGGCCAUGGAGCCUUCUGGUUCUGGGCUAGCUCAAGGCAGUGUGUCGAAGCAGCACCAGUUCUCCAUCACGCGCCAAGUCUUUGUCCGACAGGCAGCCAAGGACCGUGCACGUGAUGCGGGGUUGUACUACGUCCUCUUGUUGUGCCAGGGCUGGGCAAGACGGCAGCCAUAUUGAUCUACAAUCUGUUAUUUAAGUGUUGCAAAGCUGCCUGUGAAAAAAGUGAAAUAAUAUCAAAGAAAAAUAAAUGUAGUCUUUCCUCAGGCACCUGUCUACCAGCCCACAUCAGUCUGACAGGAUUUUAGUAGCAUGUAGGUCGGCCCGGCUCUGGAGCAGCUGCGAUGGCUCACAUAAUUUUCCCCCGUUUCUAGAAUGAUAAGCAGAGAGCCGGACUUAUUCCAUCUCUCAUGGCAACUCUGACUCAGUGUUGUCUUAAGGGGGCGGGUUGAAGACCGGCUAAAAAUAAACUCUAAGACUUGGGUUCUCUCUGCUGAUUAUUUCUGGAAUCAGUCACCCAGUCUACUCUUACCGACCCACUACCACCACUGGGUUUGUGAGGGGCCUGCCAUGUGUAUCACUCCUCUCUGCUGCUUUCGGUCAGUAGUCUUGGUACCAAUUCAAACACAAACAGUUUACUCUGGUGGUGUCUACAGUCUGGUAGCGAAGGUGAUGGACGCCUGUCAAACAAGUGAUCUGUUACUUGCUUUGGCCUAUUUGUUGAUCUGCCAGCUGUGUGUGUGUGUGUGUGUGUGUGUGUGUGUGUGUGUGUGUGUGUGUGUGUGUGUGUGUGUGUGUGUGUGUGUGUGUGUGUGUGUGUGUGUGUGUGUGUGUGUGUGUGUGUGGCUGCGCGUGUUAGAGAGCUAUACAGUUGGAGAGAUUAUAUUAUGCUAUUUUCAGACAUGAACAAGGUGUUAAAGAUCCCAAUUUCAAUAAACAUGAUAUGCAAGCAACACGCAACGGAGAGAAACGGCUUGGACAAUACACCGAGAUGGAUUGCCUUCAGCCUUUUUAUCUUCUCCUGGCCCCUGUUCCAUUCCCUUAGAAGCAGUGCCCACCUGGAAUAGUCUGGCCCUGUUUCAUGGCCUGCCUUUCAGCACACUGUUUAUAUGAGCUCCUCUGUGUGUGUGUGUGUGUGUGUGUGUGUGUGUGUGUGUGUGUGUGUGUGUGUGUGUGUAUACAUGUCUACCACACAUUGGUAUACAGAUGCCUGAGUUGAGUGAGUUCCCUACUGUACGUCAUCGGUGCCGUCUUUCUCCUUUUAAGGAAGGCCGGCUGCAGACAGACCACUUCUCCUCGCUUCCUUUGUCCUGAAAUGCUCUCUUCUCGAAUCAAGAGGAAAAACACGAGGCCAGAUCUUGAUUUGCGGUGUGUGGGGGGGGGGAGUUUGAAAUAAAUUGCCACUCAAAUAAUUUGUAUCAAAAACAAAAUGGGUAUAUCGGACUACCCACAACGAUCACGUGUGUGGGGCAAGCAUAUAAAUAGUGCAUUUGUUUCACUUGCAAGAAUAUGAAUAUCUUUGGGUAAGUACACGGAUGUCGUUUCUGUGGCGUCCGUUUGGAUCCGUCUCAAGGUUUCCUUUGUGGUCCAGAGGAGACUAAGGCCUGUGACUCAGCAAUGCUGCAGUCCACACAGAUGUUGAGAGGCCAGAACGACUUCCCAACCUGUUAAUUAUAGAACAUGCCUAUUUUUACACGGUUCCUCAGGCAUACCAAGCGCACGUGCGCGUGCACACACACACACACACACACACACACACACACACACACACACACACACACACACACACACACACACACACACACACACACACACACACACACAGGGACACACACACACACACACACACACAGGGACACACACAAACACUGACACACACACACAGGGACACACACACACAAACACUGACACACACACACAGGGACACACACACACAAACA
This is a long non-coding RNA of Gadus macrocephalus (Pacific cod), 4526 nucleotides long. RefSeq lists it as uncharacterized. The transcript has 2 exons. NCBI's taxonomy places the organism in Eukaryota, Metazoa, Chordata, Actinopteri, Gadiformes, Gadidae. The record is from RefSeq and is a predicted model, not a curated record.